GCCGGGUGCUAUGGCACAUGCCUGUAAUCCCAGUUACUGGGGAGGCUGAGGCAGGAGGAUCAUAAGUUUGAGCCCAGCCUCAACAACUUACUGAGGCCCUAAGCAACUUAGCCAGAUCCUGUCUCAA
RNAcentral lists this small RNA (127 nucleotides) under Marmota monax (woodchuck). Lineage: Eukaryota; Metazoa; Chordata; Mammalia; Rodentia; Sciuridae. The record is from RNAcentral.